Molecule: ribosomal RNA, 274 nt
Filed under: uncultured bacterium
Lineage: Bacteria
Description: partial 16S ribosomal RNA
Rfam family: Bacterial small subunit ribosomal RNA
Source: RNAcentral
AUACGGGGGGUGCAAGCGUUAAUCGGAAUUACUGGGCGUAAAGCGCGCGUAGGCGGUUUGCUCAGUCGGAUGUGAAAGCCCAGGGCUCAACCUUGGAACUGCAUACGAUACUGGCAAACUAGAGUGUGAGAGAGGAUAGUGGAAUUUCCGGUGUAGCGGUGAAAUGCGUAGAUAUCGGAAGGAACAUCAGUGGCGAAGGCGACUGUCUGGCUAAACACUGACGCUGAGGUGCGAAAGCGUGGGUAGCAAACAGGAUUAGAAACCCUAGUAGUCC